GAUGAAGAACGUAGCGAAAUGCGAUAAGUAAUGUGAAUUGCAGAAUUCAGUGAAUCAUCGAAUCUUUGAACGCACAUUGCGCCCAUUAGUAUUCUAGUGGGCAUGCUUGUUCGAGCGUCAUUUCAACCCUUAAGCCUAGCUUAGUAUUGGGAAUCGACUUUACUGUCGUUCCUCAAAUUCAACGGCGGAUUUAUAGCAAUCUCUGAACGUAGUAAUUUUUUUUCUCGUUUUUGAAAUACUAUAAACCUCAGCCGCUAAACCCCCAAUUUCUUAUGGUUGACCUCGGAUCAGGUAGGAAUACCCGCUGAACUUAAGCAUAUCAAUAAGCGGAGGA
This 334-nucleotide unclassified non-coding RNA is filed under the name soil metagenome. RNAcentral describes it as "partial contains 5.8S ribosomal RNA, internal transcribed spacer 2, and large subunit ribosomal RNA". The stretch from base 1 to 120 matches the Rfam family "5.8S ribosomal RNA", at positions 35 to 154 of the family's 154-position model. The record is from RNAcentral.